UGGUGACGUACAGCAGACUUGGCGACACCGCGAACUACCCCCAUCCCCGGUCUGCCUGCCCGCAUCAUCCAUUCAGUGUAACUGAGCCAUGUAAUGUGGCUGGAAGACGUCCUAACCAACAGAAUGCAGCUCACUGCGAGAAGUGCUACUGUUUCGCAUGCGACAAACCAGCAAAACAGUGCACAUUUUGGACCGCUCAGUAUGUCGCACAUUGUAACGCCUACAAGCAGUCUUCUUUUUGGAAAGGCAUGCGCAGGGCUCUCAAUAAAGUGACUUGAAAGUUUAAAAUGAAAUUUUGCUUGUUGAUGAAAUGGAAAUCAAAAGAUAUUUAUAUGCCAAAAAGCAGUUACUCAAGCAACUGCCUGGAUAUGAUUUUGGAAGCGGUCGGACAU
This is a long non-coding RNA of Branchiostoma belcheri (Belcher's lancelet), 392 nucleotides long. RefSeq lists it as uncharacterized. The record is from RefSeq and is a predicted model, not a curated record. NCBI's taxonomy places the organism in Eukaryota, Metazoa, Chordata, Leptocardii, Amphioxiformes, Branchiostomatidae. The transcript is spliced from 3 exons.